This is a long non-coding RNA of Varanus komodoensis (Komodo dragon), 746 nucleotides long. RefSeq lists it as uncharacterized. Lineage: Eukaryota; Metazoa; Chordata; Lepidosauria; Squamata; Varanidae. The record is from RefSeq and is a predicted model, not a curated record. The transcript has 3 exons.
UCUGCUGAGCUUGCCUGUCACUUCUGGCUCAAGUUUCAGCAGUUUGGGAACUGGGUGAAAAAUAUCCUUCUUAAAAUCGUUAUGGUUGUGUGUUGUGGAGGAGCAGGAUGGAUUCUACUGAGUUCUCACCAGGGCUGUCUUCCAGGUAAGAGGGCAGAAGGAACCCAGACAAACAUCUGCAUUAUUUCAAGACGGAAGUUCAAAAGAACAGUGGCUGUCACAUGGACGCCUGCAAACUUCAGGGCUUUGCCAGGUACAAUUUGACUGCCAACACCCAGAACUCCUGCUCCAUGGCUCUGCUGGAUGGGAAUCGUGGGAGUCGCAGUCCAAAUGCCUCUGCAGGUUGCGGGAGGCUGCCUUGAAGAUUCACGAAUCCACUGCGGCAUCAUAAGCUUCCAUGGGCACGAAUCGCUUUGCGUGGUCAGAUAGAAUGGCGGGCACCAUUUCGGACUCUUAAAGCAGCAGAGUCCCAGGCUCAGGCUGAGGGGGACCAUCGGCAGGACCCCAAGUCUGGAGCAGGACGCCUGGGGCAAGAGGUGCCAAAACACACGGCCGUCGCCGGGUUGAGCUGGGACUGUGUGCCAAGCAUACGAACCGCGCUCUGCAGUUUGCAGUGGCAGAAAUACCAAUUCUGCCUGCCGUUGUUCCGCUAGGCCAAAUGCAGCAGUGAAGUCUUGCUGCGGGGGCUGAAGGAGCUAGAAUCGUUUCUUCUCCGACUGGCAGAGGACAGAGGCAGGAACAAAGGC